Molecule: ribosomal RNA, 726 nt
Filed under: uncultured bacterium
Lineage: Bacteria
Description: bacterial SSU rRNA
Rfam family: Bacterial small subunit ribosomal RNA
Source: RNAcentral
GGGUGAGUAACACGUAUGCAACCUGCCCCUGUCAGGGGGACAACCCGCCGAAAGGCGGGCUAAACCCGCGUACAUGCCACCGGGGCAUCCCGGAGGCAGGAAAGGCUUCGGCCGGACAGGGAUGGGCAUGCGGCGCAUUAGGCAGUAGGCGGGGUAACGGCCCACCUAACCGACGAUGCGUAGGGGUUCUGAGAGGAAGGUCCCCCACACUGGUACUGAGACACGGACCAGACUCCUACGGGAGGCAGCAGUGAGGAAUAUUGGUCAAUGGUCGGGAGACUGAACCAGCCAAGCCGCGUGAGGGAUGAAGGUACAGAGUAUCGUAAACCUCUUUUGUCAGGGAACAAAGGCGGGGACGUGUCCCCGGAUGAGUGUACCUGAAGAAAAAGCAUCGGCUAACUCCGUGCCAGCAGCCGCGGUAAUACGGAGGAUGCGAGCGUUAUCCGGAUUUAUUGGGUUUAAAGGGUGCGCAGGCGGUCUGUUAAGUCAGCGGUCAAAGCCCGGGGCUCAACCCCGGCCCGCCGUUGAAACUGGCAGUCUCGAGUUGGAGAGAAGUAUGCGGAAUGCGCGGUGUAGCGGUGAAAUGCAUAGAUAUCGCGCAGAACUCCGAUUGCGAAGGCAGCAUGCCGGCUCCACACUGACGCUGAGGCACGAAAGCGUGGGUAUCGAACAGGAUUAGAUACCCUGGUAGUCCACGCAGUAAACGAUGAAUGCAGGCUGUCCGGG